GAUGAACGCUGGCGGCGUGCCUAAUACAUGCCAGUCGAGCGGACAGAUGAGGAGCUUGCUCCUCUGACGUUAGCGGCGGACGGGUGAGUAACACGUGGAUAACCUACCUAUAAGACUGGGAUAACUUCGGGAAACCGGAGCUAAUACCGGAUAAUAUAUUGAACCGCAUGGUUCAAUAGUGAAAGACGGUUUUGCUGUCACUUAUAGAUGGAUCCGCGCCGCAUUAGCUAGUUGGUAAGGUAACGGCUUACCAAGGCAACGAUGCGUAGCCGACCUGAGAGGGUGAUCGGCCACACUGGAACUGAGACACGGUCCAGACUCCUACGGGAGGCAGCAGUAGGGAAUCUUCCGCAAUGGGCGAAAGCCUGACGGAGCAACGCCGCGUGAGUGAUGAAGGUCUUCGGAUCGUAAAACUCUGUUAUUAGGGAAGAACAAAUGUGUAAGUAACUAUGCACGUCUUGACGGUACCUAAUCAGAAAGCCACGGCUAACUACGUG
This 497-nucleotide ribosomal RNA is filed under the name uncultured bacterium. Its description in RNAcentral is "partial 16S ribosomal RNA". It matches the Rfam family "Bacterial small subunit ribosomal RNA", at positions 28 to 507 of the family's 1533-position model. The record is from RNAcentral.